GUUUGCUUGUAUGUGGGAGUGAUACAUCCGUGUACUGGGGAUACAUUCUUGUUUUUUAUGUUGCAUCUGUUUACUUGCGAAGUGAUAUUAAUCUCAAGUAGAUUCUAAAAAGUCAAAGAAGUUCUGGAUAAUUCAUUAUCCGAUUUUUCUCUGAAAUUCAUUUUAUCAAAACCUUUUUAAUCUGUCAACACUGUAAACCAC
RNAcentral lists this long non-coding RNA (201 nucleotides) under Mytilus galloprovincialis (Mediterranean mussel). Lineage: Eukaryota; Metazoa; Mollusca; Bivalvia; Mytilida; Mytilidae. The record is from RNAcentral.